This 2775-nucleotide long non-coding RNA is filed under the name Sorghum bicolor (sorghum). Its description in RNAcentral is "long non-coding RNA (SBIC_LNC003565)". Lineage: Eukaryota; Viridiplantae; Streptophyta; Magnoliopsida; Poales; Poaceae. The record is from RNAcentral.
UUCCCAUAUUAUCACUCACUGUUAUCUUACCUUUAAUAUUGUUCUUAUUCGAUUCUACCAUCUUUCCUAUUCACACCUAUUUACUUAUCUUGGUUAAGUUAGAGCGUAGAUCAGUUCUCCCGUUUCCCUGUGGAUACGAUAAAACCUUUAACCGGGUAAAAGCUUCAACGGUAUCCGUGCGCUUGCGGAUUAUCUGUGUGCGUAUAAAUACCAUAGUACACUCUAGUGCCACGCUGGGGAUGACAACCUAGUAUUCAAGUGGUGUUAGCAAGUGUCAACAGUAACCGUCACUUCUGUCUUGAGUGGUUAAAAGAUAGAACAGUCCAGUCAAGUGCCAUGUCGCUUAUUCUUGAUCAGCUAUAGCUCUGGAGUUUUUGCAGAUUUUCAAAUAAAACUCAGAGAUUCCUUUGUAUGACUCUCUCAUAUCUCUCUUUUGUGGUAUUUCUGGAUCCUUACCAAGGCAGUGAUGGUAUAUGCCUUCUCUCAAAAUAUGUGGUAUUUGUGGUAUAAGGGAUAGUGACAUUGUCUUCUCUCUCACCCUACUCUAAUAAGGCUUUAAUAUCUGGAGCUCAUAGGUGGGAGAUAAAAUAUACAUACUUACAAGACAUUUAUUGUAUAGUCAAACCAUGGAUCCAAAGAAACAAAUCAAUAAGCCAAAUCAAGAUGUGCAUGUGUGGCGAAUGAAUAGUGUAUGGUGAUGAUGGUGAUAACAAUGGUGAAAGUCUAAUUCUACUUUUGCUCUUUCGAGGGGAUACAUACCUUCCUUGCUUUUUGAAACUUUAUGAGGAGAAUGAGAUGCUCUUCUUUUUAUUUUCUCUCAGAUGGGUAUCCUGUACCCCUAAUUCUACUGUCGAACACUUGUCCAUUUUUACCUCUCGUCUCACUCUUUUUCUUUUCUUUCGAGGUUCCGCGCACUUGCCCAUUUUUAUUUCCUCGUUUAUUAUUUUUUUCUUUUCUCUUUUUUUUUCUUCUCUUUUUUUUCAGAGCACUCAUCUCUUAAGAUAAUAUAGCAAGUGGUAGUAGCAAGAUAACUUAAGCAUUUAUUUCACAAGGGAAAAACACAGAUGUUUUUGGCUAUUCUCUCCCGAAUUAGGAGUAGAAUAUUUUUAGGUGAUUCUGGAGAUGGAAAUGGAUGGAUAUAUGUGGAUGGUACUUCCGGAGUAGAAGUAGCAUAUAUAUGAGUGAACGUGCAAGUGAAUCUUGAUUUAACCACAUGACAAGCUCCUAAGGGUCUACACAGCUUGACCACACUCAAUGCUCAUAAGCAGUAAAUAAUAAAUGUGUGGCUCCAAGUCUAGCAAGCAUGUAUAUAUGGCUGUGGUAGGAAUUUAAACUUUCAUCAUACAGGAACUCAUCAUGCAACAUUUUAAAGAUUUUUCAAAGAUAAAAUUCUCCAGAAUUCUAGCAUCUCUAGGAAUAGAUAAACAGCAGCUCAACCUUCCCAUAUCAUAUCCGUUAACAACUUAGAUUUCAGAUCAAGUUUUCAUCCCACAAGUUUAGAUCUAGAGCAAGCUUUAAAUUAUAACAGUUAUGUCUAAACUUGAGAGAGAACUUUAAAUUUGCAAAUUAGGCAGAGCAACUAUUCAUCAUAUCCAUGCUAGAGUUUUAUUAUUAAGAUUCAGAUUAGCAUAGCCACUUUAUUUAUUUAUUAAACACACUAAGCAAAAGAUAUAUAUAUAAGCACAAAAUCUUUAUUUGGUUUUUCAUAGUUUAUGUAUUUUAAUAUUCUAAUAUAAUAUAAGUAUCAAGAUAGGUAGAAAUACUUAGCGAGAUAAAUGGGGGUGCUCUCCCCCAAGCUGAAUUUUGACGUAAUUUCUCUUGAUGUAGCUAGCAGGUGGCAGAGGUGUAUUUGAAAGUCAGCAGCAUUCUGACAGUGAUUAGAAUGUCCUCCGUCUGCUAGUCUUCUUGAUUCUUAAAUUCUGUGGAGCUCAAAUAGACAACAAAGCUUGUGGAACUAAUUAAGUGUUAGCAUAAAUAUCUAGCCUUCAUCACGUUGAGCUUCCUCAAUAAAUAUUACUCCCUGUUUUUAUAUUUUUAUUUUAUAAAGUAGAAAAGAAAUAUUUAUUUUAUUUUUUAUUCCACCACAGUGAAGGUACUUAUGGGUUUUAUGCCACUCGUAUACUCACAUGGGGCUUAGUAUUUUUAAUAUUUUUAUUUUCUUUUCAAGAUAGCAUGAUUAACUAAUAAGCUAUUUAAGGAAAGUAAGUAAUUAAAGGGAAAAGGAAAUGCAGAAUGGAUAAAUAUGGAUAACUACCGACUUUACCUUUCGGCGAGGGUUCAAUGUUUUAAGUCUUCUGAACAAGACUUCUCACCGUGUUCAUUCUUCAGGUGCGUCAUUUGAUUCAGGUGCGGACCUUGACGUCUGCACCUCUUCGUUUGCCCAGCAGUGGCGUUGGCAGUAUCCUGCUCAGUGUGUUUGUGCUCGUAGAUCUAGGUCCUUCACUUGGUAGAGUCUGAGAGUUAUAAAACUCCUCCGUGUUUUGCUCGAAGUGUACCUGCUCAUAGAGACAAGGCAGAGAUCAAGUGCAUGGGUCCUGUUGGUGGAAAACACCAACAGAACCUAAAGUGUAUUUGUUCUUCUCUAACCCUAAGCAUAGUGAGCAAGACAAAGUUGAUGGAUGAAAAGUUCAUGAGUGUAGCAUUUAAAACAUUUGUUAGAUCAGAUCGCUCAACCAUAUGGAAAGAUAAUCUAUCUAUGUAUAAUGCUUUUUCUUUAUAUCUUCUCAAAGAUUGAAUGUGUAACAUUAUAGCUCAUAUGAUUAGGAGUGUGGGAUC